UACGUAGGUGGCAAGCGUUAUCCGGAAUUAUUGGGCGUAAAGCGCGCGCAGGCGGUUUCUUAAGUCUGAUGUGAAAGCCCCCGUCUCAACCGGUGAGGGUCAUUGGAAACUGGGAAACUUGAGUGCAGAAGAGGAAAGCGGAAUUACACGUGUAGCGGUGAAAUGCGUAGAUAUGUGGAGGAAGACCAGUGGCGAAGGCGGCUUUCUGGUCUGUAACUGACGCUGAGGCGCGAAAGAGUGGGUAGCAAACAGG
This 253-nucleotide ribosomal RNA is filed under the name uncultured bacterium. Its description in RNAcentral is "partial 16S ribosomal RNA". It matches the Rfam family "Bacterial small subunit ribosomal RNA", at positions 524 to 776 of the family's 1533-position model. The record is from RNAcentral.